CAGUAAAUAGUUUAAAUAAAAUGUUAGUUUUGGAGACUAGAGAUAGGUUUUACUUUUUGCUGA
Molecule: transfer RNA, 63 nt
Filed under: Panaorus albomaculatus
Lineage: Eukaryota; Metazoa; Arthropoda; Insecta; Hemiptera; Rhyparochromidae
Description: tRNA-Pro
Source: RNAcentral